RNAcentral lists this transfer RNA (69 nucleotides) under Marmota monax (woodchuck). RNAcentral describes it as "tRNA.Ala". The stretch from base 4 to 64 matches the Rfam family "tRNA", at positions 6 to 65 of the family's 71-position model. From Rfam's summary of the family: Transfer RNA (tRNA) molecules are approximately 80 nucleotides in length. Their secondary structure includes four short double-helical elements and three loops (D, anti-codon, and T loops). Lineage: Eukaryota; Metazoa; Chordata; Mammalia; Rodentia; Sciuridae. The record is from RNAcentral.
GUUUGUGGCUCAGCGGUAGAGCGCUCACCUAGCACGUGAGAGACCCUGGGUUCUAUCCUCAGCACUACA